AGGAAUUGAACAAAUAAGGUAUCACACAUGCAGACAUCCCACCCUAGUAAUGGAAUCAGAGGAGAUCUUAUUACAGACCGGCAUGAAGAUGUGAUCUCAGUACAUAGGCAUUUGUUGGUGGAUUAAGAGAAUCUCAGUUGUCAACAAACGUCGUCCAUUGAUCCCCUCUUCUGGCCUCUGGAGACUGUAAAGCUGAUUCUGAAAGAAAACAUGGGACGAAUGAGUGAUUUUUUUUCCAUGGAAAUAGUGUGUAAAAGUUGCAGAUAGCUGCCAGUUCCUCACUGUUUUCUUCCUCCUAUCCUCUGCCUUCCACCAUGACUUUGAACAAGCACCAUUGGGCACCUCAACAUCACUUUCUAUGUUCAGUCCUCAAGCCAGUGCAUGCAAAUUUGGCCUCUUCAUGAAAAAUGAAAGAUACUGAAGCCAUAGAUGAGGCUUUGCAGAAAAACUGUGGCCGUAUCAUGCCAGAAGGCAGGGAGAGAAAGCCUGAGAGAAAAAGGGAUGAUGUGUUUCAUCAGAAACAGAAGGUAAGGAAGCACCAAAAGGAGAAUCUUCCUUGAGAGUUCCAGAAGAA
This 574-nucleotide long non-coding RNA is filed under the name Gallus gallus (chicken). Lineage: Eukaryota; Metazoa; Chordata; Aves; Galliformes; Phasianidae. The record is from RNAcentral.